GAUGAACGCUGGCGGCGUGCCUAAUACAUGCAAGUCGAGCGAACGGACGAGAAGCUUGCUUCUCUGAUGUUAGCGGCGGACGGGUGAGUAACACGUGGAUAACCUACCUAUAAGACUGGGAUAACUUCGGGAAACCGGAGCUAAUACCGGAUAAUAUUUUGAACCGCAUGGUUCAAAAGUGAAAGACGGUCUUGCUGUCACUUAUAGAUGGAUCCGCGCUGCAUUAGCUAGUUGGUAAGGUAACGGCUUACCAAGGCAACGAUGCAUAGCCGACCUGAGAGGGUGAUCGGCCACACUGGAACUGAGACACGGUCCAGACUCCUACGGGAGGCAGCAGUAGGGAAUCUUCCGCAAUGGGCGAAAGCCUGACGGAGCAACGCCGCGUGAGUGAUGAAGGUCUUCGGAUCGUAAAACUCUGUUAUUUAGGAAGAACAUAUGUGUUAGUAACUGUGCACAUCUUGACGGUACCCUAUCAGAAAGCACGGCUUACUACGUGCCAGCAGCCGCGGGUAUACGUANGUGGCAAGCGUUAUCCGGGAAUUAUUGGGCGUAAAGCGCGCGUAGGUGGUUUGUCGCGUCGUUUGUGUAAGCCCGCAGCUUCACUGCGGGACUGCAGGCGAUACGGGCAUAACUUGAGUGCUGUAUUGGAGACUGGAAUUCCUGGUGUAGCGGUGGAAUGCGCAGAUAUCAGGAGGAACACCGAUGGCGAAGGCAGGUCUCUGGGCAGUAACUGACGCUGAGGAGCGAAAGCAUGGGUAGCGAACAGGAUUAGAUACCCUGGUAGUCCAUGCCGUAAACGGUGGGCGCUAGGUGUGAGUCCCUUCCACGGGGUUCGUGCCGUAGCUAACGCAUUAAGCGCCCCGCCUGGGGAGUACGGCCGCAAGGCUAAAACUCAAAGGAAUUGACGGGGGCCCGCACAAGCGGCGGAGCAUGUGGAUUAAUUCGAUGCAACGCGAAGAACCUUACCUGGGCUUGACAUACACCAGACCGGGCCAGAGAUGGUCUUUCCCUUUGUGGUUGGUGUACAGGUGGUGCAUGGUUGUCGUCAGCUCGUGUCGUGAGAUGUUGGGUUAAGUCCCGCAACGAGCGCAACCCUUAAGCUUAGUUGCCAUCAUUAAGUUGGGCACUCUAAGUUGACUGCCGGUGACAAACCGGAGGAAGGUGGGGAUGACGUCAAAUCAUCAUGCCCCUUAUGAUUUGGGCUACACACGUGCUACAAUGGACAAUACAAAGGGCAGCGAAACCGCGAGGUCAAGCAAAUCCCAUAAAGUUGUUCUCAGUUCGGAUUGUAGUCUGCAACUCGACUACAUGAAGCUGGAAUCGCUAGUAAUCGUAGAUCAGCAUGCUACGGUGAAUACGUUCCCGGGUCU
RNAcentral lists this ribosomal RNA (1370 nucleotides) under uncultured bacterium. Its description in RNAcentral is "partial 16S ribosomal RNA". It matches the Rfam family "Bacterial small subunit ribosomal RNA", at positions 28 to 1381 of the family's 1533-position model. The record is from RNAcentral.